AGGAACUUUGAUGACUCCAAAUGGACAGAAAACAUGGUGCACGGCUAAGCCAUCAUCAGACCAAGCAGCUCUUCUGGAAAACAUAAACUACGCAUGUUCCAAGUGGAUUGCCAAAUUAUACAGAAAGGUGUCCUUGUUUCUAUCCAAUACUCUCAUCAACCAUGCUUCCGUUGCCAUGAACCUUACUACCAGUCCAAGGGAAGAAACGUUUGGAACUGUGAUUUCAAAGGCUCCGGUCUCGUUGUCUUAACCGAUCCAAGUUAUUCAAACUGCAUUUAUGCGUAGCAAGCGACGAUGAAUUCAUGGAUUUAAGCAAAACCAC
Molecule: long non-coding RNA, 322 nt
Organism: Hibiscus syriacus
Lineage: Eukaryota; Viridiplantae; Streptophyta; Magnoliopsida; Malvales; Malvaceae
Exons: 3
Source: RefSeq, a predicted model, not a curated record